CACUCUAAGAAACUAGAUGGAGUCAUUUUUAAAGUGGACUUUGAGAAAGCGUACGACAAAGUUAAGUGGCCUUUCCUGCAACAAGCUCUGCGUAUGAAAGGGUUCGACGAGGGCUGGAGGAGCCAGAUUGAAUCGUUUACGCAGAAGGGUAGUGUUGGUAUUAAAGUGAAUGACGACAUUGGUCGUUACUUCCAGACACACAAGGGCUUGCGGCAAGGUGAUCCGAUGUCCCCUAUUCUGUUCAACAUAGUGGUGGACAUGUUGGCAGUUCUGAUAGGGAGAGCCAAGGAGGCAGGCCAAGUUGGAGGCUUGGUGCCUCAUUUAGUGAAUGGAGGUAUUUCCAUCCUGCAGUACGCUGAUGACACUAUCAUCUUCAUGGAGCAUGACUUGGUAAAAGCAAGAAAUAUGAAGCUGUUGCUUUGUUUGUUUGAGCAAUUGAGUGGGCUCAAAAUUAACUUCCAUAAAAGUGAGUUGUUCUGCUUUGGUAGAGCCAAAGAGGAACAAGAAGCCUAUAAACAAUUGUUUGGGUGUGGUUUGGGGGAGUUACCAUUCACAUACCUAGGGAUUCCAAUACAUCACCGUAGGCUUACGAACAAUGAAUGGAAGUGUAUUGAAGAUCGAUUUGAGAAAAAGCUAAGCUGUUGGAAGGGUAAGCUAAUGUCAUAUGGAGGCCGGUUAAUUCUUAUUAAUUCGGUGUUGACGAGUAUGCCCAUGUUCCUUUUGUCUUUUUUUGAAGUACCGGUUGGGGUAAGGAAAAGACUGGACUUCUAUCGAUCGCGGUUCUUUUGG
This 789-nucleotide ribosomal RNA is filed under the name Triticum aestivum (bread wheat). RNAcentral's name for it is "partial small subunit ribosomal RNA". The record is from RNAcentral. Lineage: Eukaryota; Viridiplantae; Streptophyta; Magnoliopsida; Poales; Poaceae.